This 447-nucleotide unclassified non-coding RNA is filed under the name Hevea brasiliensis (rubber tree). The record is from RNAcentral. Lineage: Eukaryota; Viridiplantae; Streptophyta; Magnoliopsida; Malpighiales; Euphorbiaceae.
GCGAGAUUCGUAUGUAUAUCAAAUACAUGUGAAUCACACUAGAUACAUGUAUCUUGGCGUCAGAUCCACGAGCUAAUAUACAUGAAAAAACAAGAAAAUCGGCUAUUCCUAAAUCAAUCUGAUGUAGCAAAAGAGAUUACCAAAUUUAUGCAACCACAGCUUAUCAGGAAGGUUUACAGAAGUAUGCUGUAAUGGCCUUCAAUUUGCCAUUUAAGUAAUUCUUCUCCACCUCUAAUGACCAUGGUGGAUUCGCGGACAGUGACAGUUCUGCCAACUCAUUGAUAUCGACAUUUCUUGGGAGGAACAUGACAACUUUGGAGGCGAUUCCCCUGCCAAUGCUGAAGAGGAAGUUCCCAUCAUGCGGCCUAAGCAUGGUUUUCAUGUCAAAUGUUCUUUCCUUCAAAUAGUCUGGUCCCCCCCAAGGUGGUGACAUAAAGACUACAUCCG